UACGGAGGAUCCAAGCGUUAUCCGGAUUUACUGGGUUUAAAGGGUGCGUAGGCGGCUAAUAAAGUCAGGGGUAAAAUACAUAAGCUUAACUUAUGGCCUGCCCUUGAAACUCAUUAGCUAGAGUAUGGUGAGUGUAGGCGGAAUGUGACAAGUAGCGGUGAAAUGCAUAGAUAUGUCACAGAACACCGAUCGCGAAGGCAGCUUACAGUACCAUAACUGACGCUGAGGCACGAAAGCGUGGGGAGCAAAC
Molecule: ribosomal RNA, 250 nt
Filed under: uncultured bacterium
Lineage: Bacteria
Description: partial 16S ribosomal RNA
Rfam family: Bacterial small subunit ribosomal RNA
Source: RNAcentral